CUGGUUGAUUCUGCCAGUAGUCAUAUGCUUGUCUAAAAGGUAAAUUUCAUUUUAUUGUCGUGAAAUUGGAGUGUGAUUCUUUUCAACCAUAAUCAUGGUUCUUUGUGUAAUUUUUUCUUCGUGUGUCCUAUAUACUUACUUUUUCUUUUCUUUUUCCACCACCUUUUAUCAUCAUUAGAUUAAGCCAUGCGUGUGUAAGUAUAAACAACUUCGUACUUGUGAGACUGCGAAUGGCUCAUUAAAUCAGCAAGAAUUUAUGUGAAAACCAAACUAUCAGUUUCCUACUUGGAUAACUGUCGAAAAACGAGAGCUAAUACAUGCAAAGAGGGGCGACUUUUGGGAAGCCUUGUAUUUAUUAGAGAAUUGAAAUCAACGGGGGCAACCUCUUUGAAAGAUGAUUCAUAAUAACUGUGCGGAGCGUAUGGCUUCGAGCCGACGCCGAUUCAUUCAACUUUCUGCCCUAUCAACUUUCGAUGGUAGGAUAGAGGCCUACCAUGGUUAUAACGGGUAACGGAGAAUUAGGGUUCGAUUCCGGAGAGGGAGCCUGAGAAACGGCUACCACUUCCAAGGGAGGCAGCAGGCGCGCAAAUUACCCAAUCCUAACUCAGGGAGGUAGUGACAAGAAAUAACGAUACGGGUCUUGAAUCAAGUCUUGUAAUCGGAAUGAGAACAAUCUAAACCACUUAACGAGCACCAAUUGGAGGGCAAGUCUGGUGCCAGCAGCCGCGGUAAUUCCAGCUCCAAUAGCGUAUAUUAAUGUUGUUGUAGUUAAAAAGCUCGUAGUUGGAUCUUGGAGUUUCGUAGGCCGUUUGACCAGCCUGAAUGGCUAGUGUUGACGGUCUCGCUCUAUAUGUGAUAGCGGCAUGCGUACAGCCUUAAUUGUGUGGUACGUUUCUACGUGGUUCGGUUCUCUUCCUUCAUUGGGAGUGGAGCAGGGCCGGUGGAGGGGCUUUCCUCUUUCGGGGGGCAAAGUCAAUGCUCUAUCUUGUUUACUUUGAAAAAAUUAGAGUGUUUAAGGCAGACCAUUUUAUGGUCAUUGAAUACAUUAGCAUGGGAUAAUAGAAUAAGACAUAGGUUUUAUUUUGUUGGUUUCGUAAAACUUAAGUAAUGAUUAAAAGGGACAGUUGGGGUGAUUCGUAUUUAAUUGUCAGAGGUGAAAUUCUUAGAUUCAUGAAAGACGAACUACUGCGAAAGCAUUUCACAAGAAUGUUUUCAUUAAUCAAGAACGAAAGUUAGGGGAUCGAAGACGAUCAGAUACCGUCGUAGUCUUAACCAUAAACGAUGCCGACCAAGGAUAGGGAAACGUUAAUUCAAAUGACUCUCCCUGCACUUUGUGAGAAAUCAUAAGUCUUUGGGUUCUGGGGGGAAUACGGUCACAAGGCUGAAACUUAAAGGAAUUGACGGAAGGGCACCACCAGGAGUGGAGCCUGCGGCUUAAUUUGACUCAACACGGGAAAACUUACCAGGUCCGGACUGCAGGAGGAUUGACAGAUUGAGAGCUCUUUCAUGAUUUGUAGGAUGGUGGUGCAUGGCCGUUGUUGGCUCGUGGUGUGAACUGUCUGGUUAAUUCCGUUAACGAGCGAGACCUUAACCUGCUAAAUAGUGACUCAAAGAGGUUUGCAUUAAGUAGGUUCGGGCCUACCUGGGAAUUUGGGUUCGUCCCACCUAGGUAGUUGUCUACGACUGCUGCAGUUCUUUGAGGAUUUUCCACUUCUUAGAGGGACUAUUCGUGAUUAGCGAAUGGAAGUUUGAGGCUAUAACAGGUCUGUGAUGCCCUUCGAUGAUCCUGGGCCGCACGCGCGCUACACUGACGGUCUCAACGAGUUCCACACCUUGCCUGAAAAGGUUGGGUGAUCUUGUGAAAUGCCGUCGUGAUGGGGAUAGAUGAUUGCAAUUAUUCAUCUUCAACGAGGAAUUCCUAGUAAGCGCGAGUCAUCAACUCGCGUUGAAUUCGUCCCUGCCCUUUGUACACACCGCCCGUCGCUCCUACCGAUUGAAUGGUCCGGUGAAAUCUUCGGAUUGUUAACUUGCAUUACUUUUUCCUUUUGAUUCGUCAUUGGGAAGGAGUAACGUUGAUGAAAAGUUGCUUAAACCUUACCAUUUAGAGGAAGGAGAAGUCGUAACAAGGUCUCCGUAGGUGAACCUGCAGAAGGAUCA
Molecule: ribosomal RNA, 2157 nt
Filed under: Ovalopodium rosalinum
Lineage: Eukaryota; Discosea; Himatismenida; Cochliopodiidae
Description: SSU rRNA
Rfam family: Eukaryotic small subunit ribosomal RNA
Source: RNAcentral